RNAcentral lists this ribosomal RNA (2818 nucleotides) under Pseudomonas aeruginosa. Its description in RNAcentral is "23S ribosomal RNA". It matches the Rfam family "Bacterial large subunit ribosomal RNA". The record is from RNAcentral. Lineage: Bacteria; Pseudomonadati; Pseudomonadota; Gammaproteobacteria; Pseudomonadales; Pseudomonadaceae.
GGUCAAGUGAAGAAGCGCAUACGGUGGAUGCCUUGGCAGUCAGAGGCGAUGAAAGACGUGGUAGCCUGCGAAAAGCUUCGGGGAGUCGGCAAACAGACUUUGAUCCGGAGAUCUCUGAAUGGGGGAACCCACCUAGGAUAACCUAGGUAUCUUGUACUGAAUCCAUAGGUGCAAGAGGCGAACCAGGGGAACUGAAACAUCUAAGUACCCUGAGGAAAAGAAAUCAACCGAGAUUCCCUUAGUAGUGGCGAGCGAACGGGGAUUAGCCCUUAAGCUUCAUUGAUUUUAGCGGAACGCUCUGGAAAGUGCGGCCAUAGUGGGUGAUAGCCCCGUACGCGAAAGGAUCUUUGAAGUGAAAUCGAGUAGGACGGAGCACGAGAAACUUUGUCUGAACAUGGGGGGACCAUCCUCCAAGGCUAAAUACUACUGACUGACCGAUAGUGAACCAGUACCGUGAGGGAAAGGCGAAAAGAACCCCGGAGAGGGGAGUGAAAUAGAACCUGAAACCGUAUGCGUACAAGCAGUGGGAGCCUACUUGUUAGGUGACUGCGUACCUUUUGUAUAAUGGGUCAGCGACUUAUAUUCAGUGGCAAGCUUAACCGUAUAGGGUAGGCGUAGCGAAAGCGAGUCUUAAUAGGGCGUUUAGUCGCUGGGUAUAGACCCGAAACCGGGCGAUCUAUCCAUGAGCAGGUUGAAGGUUAGGUAACACUGACUGGAGGACCGAACCCACUCCCGUUGAAAAGGUAGGGGAUGACUUGUGGAUCGGAGUGAAAGGCUAAUCAAGCUCGGAGAUAGCUGGUUCUCCUCGAAAGCUAUUUAGGUAGCGCCUCAUGUAUCACUCUGGGGGGUAGAGCACUGUUUCGGCUAGGGGGUCAUCCCGACUUACCAAACCGAUGCAAACUCCGAAUACCCAGAAGUGCCGAGCAUGGGAGACACACGGCGGGUGCUAACGUCCGUCGUGAAAAGGGAAACAACCCAGACCGCCAGCUAAGGUCCCAAAGUUGUGGUUAAGUGGUAAACGAUGUGGGAAGGCUUAGACAGCUAGGAGGUUGGCUUAGAAGCAGCCAUCCUUUAAAGAAAGCGUAAUAGCUCACUAGUCGAGUCGGCCUGCGCGGAAGAUGUAACGGGGCUCAAACCACACACCGAAGCUGCGGGUGUCACGUAAGUGACGCGGUAGAGGAGCGUUCUGUAAGCCUGUGAAGGUGAGUUGAGAAGCUUGCUGGAGGUAUCAGAAGUGCGAAUGCUGACAUGAGUAACGACAAUGGGUGUGAAAAACACCCACGCCGAAAGACCAAGGGUUCCUGCGCAACGUUAAUCGACGCAGGGUUAGUCGGUUCCUAAGGCGAGGCUGAAAAGCGUAGUCGAUGGGAAACAGGUUAAUAUUCCUGUACUUCUGGUUACUGCGAUGGAGGGACGGAGAAGGCUAGGCCAGCUUGGCGUUGGUUGUCCAAGUUUAAGGUGGUAGGCUGAAAUCUUAGGUAAAUCCGGGGUUUCAAGGCCGAGAGCUGAUGACGAGUCGUCUUUUAGAUGACGAAGUGGUUGAUGCCAUGCUUCCAAGAAAAGCUUCUAAGCUUCAGGUAACCAGGAACCGUACCCCAAACCGACACAGGUGGUCGGGUAGAGAAUACCAAGGCGCUUGAGAGAACUCGGGUGAAGGAACUAGGCAAAAUGGCACCGUAACUUCGGGAGAAGGUGCGCCGGCUAGGGUGAAGGAUUUACUCCGUAAGCUCUGGCUGGUCGAAGAUACCAGGCCGCUGCGACUGUUUAUUAAAAACACAGCACUCUGCAGAAGCUCUUGAUCGAAGCCCCGGUAAACGGCGGCCGUAACUAUAACGGUCCUAAGGUAGCGAAAUUCCUUGUCGGGUAAGUUCCGACCUGCACGAAUGGCGUAACGAUGGCGGCGCUGUCUCCACCCGAGACUCAGUGAAAUUGAAAUCGCUGUGAAGAUGCAGUGUAUCCGCGGCUAGACGGAAAGACCCCGUGAACCUUUACUGUAGCUUUGCACUGGACUUUGAGCCUGCUUGUGUAGGAUAGGUGGGAGGCUUUGAAGCGUGGACGCCAGUUCGCGUGGAGCCAUCCUUGAAAUACCACCCUGGCAUGCUUGAGGUUCUAACUCUGGUCCGUGAUCCGGAUCGAGGACAGUGUAUGGUGGGCAGUUUGACUGGGGCGGUCUCCUCCUAAAGAGUAACGGAGGAGUACGAAGGUGCGCUCAGACCGGUCGGAAAUCGGUCGCAGAGUAUAAAGGCAAAAGCGCGCUUGACUGCGAGACAGACACGUCGAGCAGGUACGAAAGUAGGUCUUAGUGAUCCGGUGGUUCUGUAUGGAAGGGCCAUCGCUCAACGGAUAAAAGGUACUCCGGGGAUAACAGGCUGAUACCGCCCAAGAGUUCAUAUCGACGGCGGUGUUUGGCACCUCGAUGUCGGCUCAUCACAUCCUGGGGCUGAAGCCGGUCCCAAGGGUAUGGCUGUUCGCCAUUUAAAGUGGUACGCGAGCUGGGUUUAGAACGUCGUGAGACAGUUCGGUCCCUAUCUGCCGUGGACGUUUGAGAUUUGAGAGGGGCUGCUCCUAGUACGAGAGGACCGGAGUGGACGAACCUCUGGUGUUCCGGUUGUCACGCCAGUGGCAUUGCCGGGUAGCUAUGUUCGGAAAAGAUAACCGCUGAAAGCAUCUAAGCGGGAAACUUGCCUCAAGAUGAGAUCUCACUGGGAACUUGAUUCCCCUGAAGGGCCGUCGAAGACUACGACGUUGAUAGGCUGGGUGUGUAAGCGUUGUGAGGCGUUGAGCUAACCAGUACUAAUUGCCCGUGAGGCUUGACCAU